This 492-nucleotide ribosomal RNA is filed under the name uncultured bacterium. RNAcentral describes it as "partial 16S ribosomal RNA". It matches the Rfam family "Bacterial small subunit ribosomal RNA", at positions 29 to 507 of the family's 1533-position model. The record is from RNAcentral.
AGUGAACGCUGGCGGUAGGCCUAACACAUGCAAGUCGAACGGCAGCACAGUAAGAGCUUGCUCUUACGGGUGGCGAGUGGCGGACGGGUGAGGAAUACAUCGGAAUCUACUUUUUCGUGGGGGAUAACGUAGGGAAACUUACGCUACUACCGCAUACGACCUACGGGUGAAAGCAGGGGAUCUUCGGACCUUGCGCGACUGAAUGAGCCGAUGUCGGAUUAGCUAGUUGGCGGGGUAAAGGCCCACCAAGGCGACGAUCCGUAGCUGGUCUGAGAGGAUGAUCAGCCACACUGGAACUGAGACACGGUCCAGACUCCUACGGGAGGCAGCAGUGGGGAAUAUUGGACAAUGGGCGCAAGCCUGAUCCAGCCAUGCCGCGUGGGUGAAGAAGGCCUUCGGGUUGUAAAGCCCUUUUGUUGGGAAAGAAAAGCAGCAGGUUAAUACCCCGCUGUUCUGACGGUACCCAAAGAAUAAGCACCGGCUAACUUCGUG